AUCUGCCCUGCACUUCGGGAUAAGCUUGGGAAACUGGGUCUAAUACCGGAUAGGACUACGAGAUGCAUGUCUUGUGGUGGAAAGCUUUUGCGGUGUGGGAUGGGCCCGCGGCCUAUCAGCUUGUUGGUGGGGUGAUGGCCUACCAAGGCGACGAUGGGUAGCUGGUCUGAGAGGACGAUCAGCCACACUGGGACUGAGACACGGCCCAG
This 209-nucleotide ribosomal RNA is filed under the name uncultured bacterium. Its description in RNAcentral is "partial 16S ribosomal RNA". It matches the Rfam family "Bacterial small subunit ribosomal RNA", at positions 124 to 334 of the family's 1533-position model. The record is from RNAcentral.